AGUCGAGCGGAUGAAGAGAGCUUGCUCUCUGAUUCAGCGGCGGACGGGUGAGUAAUGCCUAGGAAUCUGCCUAUUAGUGGGGGACAACGUUGCGAAAGGAACGCUAAUACCGCAUACGUCCUACGGGAGAAGGCAGGGGACCUUCGGGCCUUGCGCUAGUAGAUGAGCCUAGGUCGGAUUAGCUAGUUGGUGAGGUAAUGGCUCACCAAGGCGACGAUCCGUAACUGGUCUGAGAGGAUGAUCAGUCACACUGGAACUGAGACACGGUCCAGACUCCUACGGGAGGCAGCAGUGGGGAAUAUUGGACAAUGGGCGAAAGCCUGAUCCAGCCAUGCCGCGUGUGUGAAGAAGGUCUUCGGAUUGUAAAGCACUUUAAGUUGGGAGGAAGGGCAUUAGCCUAAUACGUUAGUGUUUUGACGUUACCGACAGAAUACGCACCGGCUAACUUCGUGCCAGCAGCCGCGGUAAUACGAAGGGUGCGAGCGUUAAUCGGAAUUACUGGGCGUAAAGCGCGCGUAGGUGGUUUGUUAAGUUGAAUGUGAAAGCCCCGGGCUCUACCUGGGAACUGCA
This 570-nucleotide ribosomal RNA is filed under the name bacterium 74-L049659-122-016-B10. Its description in RNAcentral is "bacterial SSU rRNA". It matches the Rfam family "Bacterial small subunit ribosomal RNA", at positions 60 to 625 of the family's 1533-position model. The record is from RNAcentral.